Molecule: transfer RNA, 69 nt
Filed under: Pseudhymenochirus merlini (Merlin's clawed frog)
Lineage: Eukaryota; Metazoa; Chordata; Amphibia; Anura; Pipidae
Description: tRNA-Pro
Rfam family: tRNA
About the family: Transfer RNA (tRNA) molecules are approximately 80 nucleotides in length. Their secondary structure includes four short double-helical elements and three loops (D, anti-codon, and T loops).
Source: RNAcentral
CAGGACAUAGUUAAAAUAGAAUGCUGGCUUUGGGGGUCAGAGGUGGGAGUUUAAAUCUCUUUGUCUUGA